GGCCCUAUCGUCUAGUGGUUAGGACAUCAGGUUUUCAUCCUGAAAACAGGGGUUCAAUUCCCCUUGGGGCUA
Molecule: transfer RNA, 72 nt
Filed under: Rhodospirillaceae bacterium
Lineage: Bacteria; Pseudomonadati; Pseudomonadota; Alphaproteobacteria; Rhodospirillales; Rhodospirillaceae
Also listed under: 2 other names
Description: tRNA-Glu
Rfam family: tRNA
About the family: Transfer RNA (tRNA) molecules are approximately 80 nucleotides in length. Their secondary structure includes four short double-helical elements and three loops (D, anti-codon, and T loops).
Source: RNAcentral